AUGGGCGCGAGGAGCACGGCGGGAGCGGGCAACCACGGCGGCGCCGCCACAGCACCUACGCCGUGGCCAGCGAGCUUCCCUUUCUCCACCAACCAGACGCCGCGGGAGCUCCCGCUCUUCCCGACCGGCGGAGGCCGGCAAGAAAGCGCGGACGACUUCCACGGCGGCGGCUACCAUCACCAGCCCAACAACUCGCAGUGGUGGGGAGCUGCCGCCGCCAGCAACACCAACGCCAUGGCCGUCCAUCACCAGCAUCAUCACCACCAGCUGCAGCAGCAGCAUUUGCAAGAACAGCAGCAGCCGCAGCACAGCUUUUACAACAGCAGCGGCAACCAGCAGCAGAUGAUGAUGAUGAUGCCCGUCCAGGACGCCGGCACCUCCCUGGAGCUCACUCUCCGUGCCCCUUACAUGUGA
Molecule: ribosomal RNA, 414 nt
Filed under: Triticum aestivum (bread wheat)
Lineage: Eukaryota; Viridiplantae; Streptophyta; Magnoliopsida; Poales; Poaceae
Description: partial small subunit ribosomal RNA
Source: RNAcentral